CGGUCCGUAGCUCAGGGGAAGAGCGCCAGCUCUGUGCUGGAGGCCCCCGGUCGAGACGGGGCGGGUCCGCCA
RNAcentral lists this transfer RNA (72 nucleotides) under Mesorhizobium sp. ORS 3428. RNAcentral describes it as "tRNA-Gln". Lineage: Bacteria; Pseudomonadati; Pseudomonadota; Alphaproteobacteria; Hyphomicrobiales; Phyllobacteriaceae. The record is from RNAcentral.